GCCCAGGUGGUGGAAUCGGUAGACACGCAGGACUUAAAAUCCUGUGGACCUAAAAGUCCGUGCGGGUUCGAGUCCCGCCCCGGGCA
Molecule: transfer RNA, 86 nt
Filed under: Sphingobacteriales bacterium TSM_CSS
Lineage: Bacteria; Pseudomonadati; Bacteroidota; Sphingobacteriia; Sphingobacteriales
Also listed under: 1 other name
Description: tRNA-Leu
Rfam family: tRNA
About the family: Transfer RNA (tRNA) molecules are approximately 80 nucleotides in length. Their secondary structure includes four short double-helical elements and three loops (D, anti-codon, and T loops).
Source: RNAcentral